GACGAACGCUGGCGGCGUGCUUAACACAUGCAAGUCGAACGGAAAGGCCCUGCUUUUGUGGGGUGCUCGAGUGGCGAACGGGUGAGUAACACGUGAGUAACCUGCCCUUGACUUUGGGAUAACUUCAGGAAACUGGGGCUAAUACCGGAUAGGAGCUCCUGCUGCAUGGUGGGGGUUGGAAAGUUUCGGCGGUUGGGGAUGGACUCGCAGCUUAUCAGCUUGUUGGUGGGGUAGUGGCUUACCAAGGCCUUGACGGGUAGCCGGCCUGAGAGGGUGACCGGCCACAUUGGGACUGAGAUACGGCCCAGACUCCUACGGGAGGCAGCAGUGGGGAAUAUUGCACAAUGGGCGGAAGCCUGAUGCAGCAACGCCGCGUGCGGGAUGACGGCCUUCGGGUUGUAAACCGCUUUCGCCUGUGACGAAGCGUGAGUGACGGUAAUGGGUAAAGAAGCACCGGCUAACUACGUG
Molecule: ribosomal RNA, 468 nt
Filed under: uncultured bacterium
Lineage: Bacteria
Description: partial 16S ribosomal RNA
Rfam family: Bacterial small subunit ribosomal RNA
Source: RNAcentral